Long non-coding RNA from Pseudophryne corroboree (corroboree frog), 564 nucleotides. RefSeq lists it as uncharacterized. The transcript has 3 exons. Lineage: Eukaryota; Metazoa; Chordata; Amphibia; Anura; Myobatrachidae. The record is from RefSeq and is a predicted model, not a curated record.
GAGAUGUAGGCAGAGAUUCCCCAAAAACGCUCAUGACACACCUGUGUUUUUGCCGCCAUCUUUGACUGACAACCACUCUGAGAAGAAAUCUUCACUGGAAGCGGUAUCGCAAAAGGUUACAUAUUAUUCUACAUGGAGAAGAGGACCGAAUGGCUGCAGGGAAUGUAGAGUGAAAGGAUAGAACAAUAAAUGACACAGCUGGCUGGAGCACCAAGAGACAUGAAAAAGAAGGUCACUCUAGAGGGUCUUUCAGUUGAAAUUAGAUCUGCUAACAAUCUGAUUACCAGUAGUAGUUUCACAACCCCCCUCCCACCACCACCAUCACCACCAAAAAAAGAAAAAGUAGCAAAUGUUGUGAAAUGUAGGUAGAAAUCAUAAAUCUGUCCAAUAUGCAGAACAUGCAUUUCCAAAUAUAAGUAAACGAAGCAGGAAAUUAUCAUAUUUCACAGACUCCUAUGCUGCUUGUUCCAAAGCUCAGUACAGAGAUAAUAAACAAAGGCCAAAUAAAAGGACAUUCAAAAAAAGGUUCAUAGUCCACUGAAGUGAAAAAGGAUAUACUUAUUC